This 537-nucleotide long non-coding RNA is filed under the name Elaeis guineensis (African oil palm). Its description in RNAcentral is "long non-coding RNA (EGUI_LNC052133)". Lineage: Eukaryota; Viridiplantae; Streptophyta; Magnoliopsida; Arecales; Arecaceae. The record is from RNAcentral.
GAAAUCAUAAUUCAACAAUCCGAUCAGUCAGGGCUUCUUUUAAGUGUGACCCCAUAGGUUCUAUUCUAUCUAGUAGUAAAAUAUAUUUUGAUCUCCAUCAAAAUAUUAUUAAAACUUCUUUCAAUAGAUUGGAAUACUUUCUAAUUCAGCCAAUUAAGAAUUAUUGAUCAUCUAAUAAUUCUCAAUGGCCCCACAAUCCAUCAGUGAUACCUAGCAGUAUGUAGUGGCAAUCUAGCAGAAUAGAAAGAAUAAACCUCUAGGUGUAGUUACCAUAUGAUACAAUUCUUCUAUUGUGAGUUUCGAUAAGAUGGAGGUUAAGAAAAAUUUAUCAAGCCCCAUCAUCUAUCAUAUGUAAGAUUUAUUUGACUUGAGUUUUUAUAUGAAAACUAUGAAAAUACUUUUUCAUCAUUUACUCUGCCCUGGCCAAAGACUUCUAAACUCAGUCUCAUAAAUCAUAUAGAACUACUCCUUAUCUACUAAGAUAUAUAGAUCCUAUCUAGAUGCACACCCUACUCCUACAACAAAUCUACUGCAGUC